Molecule: ribosomal RNA, 406 nt
Filed under: uncultured bacterium
Lineage: Bacteria
Description: partial 16S ribosomal RNA
Rfam family: Bacterial small subunit ribosomal RNA
Source: RNAcentral
AUUGAACGCUGGCGGCAUGCCUAACACAUGCAAGUCGAACGCGUGGCGGACGGGUGAGUAAUGUCUGGGAAACUGCCCGCUGGAGGGGGAUAACUACUGGAAACGGUAGCUAAUACCGCAUACCAUCGGAUGUGCCCAGAUGGGAUUAGCCAGUAGGUGGGGUAAAGGCUCACCAAGGCGACGAUCCCUAGUUGGUCUGGGAGGAUGACCGGCCACACGGGAACUGAGAAACGGUCCAGACUCCUACGGGCGGCAGCAGUGAGGAAUAUUGCACAAUGGGAGCAAGCCUGAUAAAGCAAUGCCGCGUGAAUGAAGAAGGCCUUCGGGUUGUAAAGUACUUUCAGCGGGGAGGCGUUACCCGCAGAAGAAGCACCGGCUAACUCCGUGCCAGCAGCCGCGGUAAUUC